This 509-nucleotide ribosomal RNA is filed under the name uncultured bacterium. RNAcentral's name for it is "bacterial SSU rRNA". It matches the Rfam family "Bacterial small subunit ribosomal RNA", at positions 975 to 1482 of the family's 1533-position model. The record is from RNAcentral.
CCAGGCUCGCACGGCAUUGGCCAUCCGGCGAAAGCUGGCUCCCGCAAGGGCCGAUGUAGAGGUGGUGCAUGGCUGUUGUCAGAUCGUGUGGUGAGAUGUUGGGUUAACUCCCGCAACGAGCGCAACCCUUGUCCGAUGUUGCCAUCACGUUAUGGUGGGCACUAUGCGGAGGAUGCCGGUGAUAAACUGGAGGAAGGUGGGGAUGAUGUCAAGUCAGCAUGGCCUUUAUGUAUGGGGCUACACACGUGCUACAAUGGCCGGUACAAACCGUCGCGAUCUCGCAAGAGGGAGCUAAUCGGAGAAAGCCGGUCUCAUUUUGGAUUGCAGGCUGCACCUUGCCUGCAUGAAGUUGGAAUCGCUAGUAAUCGAGGAUCAGCACCGCCGCGGUGAAUACGUUCCCGGGCCUUGUACACUCCCCCCGUCACAUCACGAAACCCGCCUGUAGUAGAAGUCCCCGCGCUAACCCGCAAGGGAGGCAAGCGCGUAAGGUAUGGUCGGUGAUUGGGGUG